AGAACGAACGCUGGCGGCAGGCUUAACACAUGCAAGUCGAGCGCUUGGAGCAAUCCGAGAGCGGCGGACGGGUGCGUAACGCGUGGGAACAUACCCUUUGGUUCGGAAUAACUCAGGGAAACUUGAGCUAAUACCGGAUAAGUCCGGAGCUUAUGGCUUUGGAGAAAGAUUUAUUGCCGAAGGAUUGGCCUGCGUCCGAUUAGCUAGUUGGUGAGGUAACGGCUCACCAAGGCGACGAUCGGUAGCUGGUCUGAGAGGAUGAUCAGCCACACUGGGACUGAGACACGGCCCAGACUCCUACGGGAGGCAGCAGUGGGGAAUAUUGGACAAUGGGCGCAAGCCUGAUCCAGCCAUGCCGCGUGAGUGAUGAAGGCCUUAGGGUUGUAAAGCUCUUUCGUCAGGGACGAUAAUGACGGUACCUGAAGAAGAAGCCCGGCAACUUCGUGCCAGCAGCCGC
Molecule: ribosomal RNA, 457 nt
Filed under: uncultured bacterium
Lineage: Bacteria
Description: SSU rRNA
Rfam family: Bacterial small subunit ribosomal RNA
Source: RNAcentral